This 820-nucleotide ribosomal RNA is filed under the name Enterobacteriaceae bacterium A1. Its description in RNAcentral is "bacterial SSU rRNA". It matches the Rfam family "Bacterial small subunit ribosomal RNA", at positions 48 to 861 of the family's 1533-position model. Lineage: Bacteria; Pseudomonadati; Pseudomonadota; Gammaproteobacteria; Enterobacterales; Enterobacteriaceae. The record is from RNAcentral.
CUAACACAUGCAAGUCGAACGGUAGCACAGAGAGCUUGCUCUUGGGUGACGAGUGGCGGACGGGUGAGUAAUGUCUGGGAAACUGCCCGAUGGAGGGGGAUAACUACUGGAAACGGUAGCUAAUACCGCAUAACGUCGCAAGACCAAAGUGGGGGACCUUCGGGCCUCACACCAUCGGAUGUGCCCAGAUGGGAUUAGCUAGUAGGUGGGGUAAUGGCUCACCUAGGCGACGAUCCCUAGCUGGUCUGAGAGGAUGACCAGCCACACUGGAACUGAGACACGGUCCAGACUCCUACGGGAGGCAGCAGUGGGGAAUAUUGCACAAUGGGCGCAAGCCUGAUGCAGCCAUGCCGCGUGUAUGAAGAAGGCCUUCGGGUUGUAAAGUACUUUCAGCGAGGAGGAAGGCAUUGUGGUUAAUAACCUCAGUGAUUGACGUUACUCGCAGAAGAAGCACCGGCUAACUCCGUGCCAGCAGCCGCGGUAAUACGGAGGGUGCAAGCGUUAAUCGGAAUUACUGGGCGUAAAGCGCACGCAGGCGGUCUGUCAAGUCGGAUGUGAAAUCCCCGGGCUCAACCUGGGAACUGCAUUCGAAACUGGCAGGCUAGAGUCUUGUAGAGGGGGGUAGAAUUCCAGGUGUAGCGGUGAAAUGCGUAGAGAUCUGGAGGAAUACCGGUGGCGAAGGCGGCCCCCUGGACAAAGACUGACGCUCAGGUGCGAAAGCGUGGGGAGCAAACAGGAUUAGAUACCUGGUAGUCCACGCCGUAAACGAUGUCGACUUGGAGGUUGUGCCCUUGAGGCGUGCUUCCGGAGCUAACGCGUU